RNAcentral lists this ribosomal RNA (262 nucleotides) under uncultured bacterium. RNAcentral describes it as "partial 16S ribosomal RNA". It matches the Rfam family "Bacterial small subunit ribosomal RNA", at positions 28 to 287 of the family's 1533-position model. The record is from RNAcentral.
GACGAACGCUGGCGGCGUGCUUAAUACAUGCAAGUCAACUGAACUUGAGGUAGCAAUAUCACAAGAGAGGUGGCGCACGGGUGAGUAACACGUAGGUAAUCUGCCUUUAGGUCUGACAUAAUUCCGCGAAAGCGGGACUAAUAUCAGAUGAUGCAGCGGCUCGACAUCGAGACAGUUGUUAAACCUUCGGGGCCUAAAGAUGAGCCUGCGUCNGAUUAGGUAGUUGGCGGAGUAAAAGCCCACCAAGCCUGCGAUCAGUAGC